UUCAUGGAGAGUUUGAUCCUGGCUCAGGACGAACGCUGGCGGCGUGCCUAAUACAUGCAAGUCGAGCGGACCGACGGGAGCUUGCUCCCUUAGGUCAGCGGCGGACGGGUGAGUAACACGUGGGUAACCUGCCUGUAAG
This 139-nucleotide ribosomal RNA is filed under the name Bacillota bacterium. Its description in RNAcentral is "partial 16S ribosomal RNA". It matches the Rfam family "Bacterial small subunit ribosomal RNA", at positions 1 to 136 of the family's 1533-position model. RNAcentral also lists the same sequence under 1 other name. The record is from RNAcentral. Lineage: Bacteria; Bacillati; Bacillota.